CUUUUUGGUUUAUCCAGCAGGAGUAAAGCCUACCUCGGAAAUCUGAGGGUGGCCGCGAACCCAAAAGUCCAGAUUCGCAGGUGCGCGCGCUAAGGACUGAGCUAUUGGGGCGAUGGAAAGAGUCUCUCUCUGCGCCAAGGGCGGAAGGACAUGUUUAAAAAAAAAAAAAAAAAAAAAAAAAAAAAAAAAAUUAAUAGAUGGGAAGUAGAAAAAAUUAAAGCGCGGUUCGUUGGUCUAGGGGUAUGAUUCCCGCUUUGGGUGCGAGAGGUCCCUGGUUCAAAUCCCAGACGAGCCCUUUUUCCUUCUCUUUUUUCCCCUUUCGCAUUUUCAGCAAGGACGGGAGACUAGGAAGGCGAAGGGAGGCUGCUGUUGGCAGAGCCUCAGUGGGGACCUCCCGGGGUCCCGGGACGCAGACGGACGGGCCUGAAUCGCUCGCCUUGCAGUCGGUCCGUCACCCUGAAAUGGGAUCCAGCGCUGCCAACUGCGGGUUCGAGAGUAUGGCUGCUCCAGUCCCAGUGUGUCCUGGCGGGGUGGGGGUCUCGGCUCCGGUCUCCACGCCCAGACCCCGAGGCCUUCCCACUGAGAGCCAGGAAAUUCGAGGCUUGGAUCCGGAGGGGAGGAGGAGAUCCUUUCAGUCCAGAUCUGCCGGAUUCUCGGGCUCCGGGUGA
Molecule: long non-coding RNA, 668 nt
Filed under: Macaca nemestrina (pig-tailed macaque)
Lineage: Eukaryota; Metazoa; Chordata; Mammalia; Primates; Cercopithecidae
Description: lncRNA (ENSMNEG00000045631.1)
Rfam family: tRNA (bases 224-295)
Source: RNAcentral